Molecule: long non-coding RNA, 6437 nt
Organism: Ctenopharyngodon idella (grass carp)
Lineage: Eukaryota; Metazoa; Chordata; Actinopteri; Cypriniformes; Xenocyprididae
Exons: 10
Source: RefSeq, a predicted model, not a curated record
ACACUUUCACAAGCACUUUUUAUAGGCAGCAUGGGUCAGGAAAAAAACAUGAUAAUAUUAACCAUCCAUCAUUUCUAGCUGCCCUUGUUGACAGUUUGUGAACACAUGCAGACUGCAACUUCAUGUGCUUUAAAUACAGUACAAAACAACAACAGUGUCAUCUAGUGGCAGAACAUGAACAGUGGUAGAAUAUCACCUAAAUAUUUGUAAGCAUUUGUGACAUUAUGUCAUUCGAUUUUUCUUGAAUCAUCCUUUAUAUGAGGUGAUAAUAAUGGCAAGAUAUAUAGCAAUAUGUCAAAUAUAUUGGGUCAUUGGGUGUAUGUGAUUUUUUUUUUUUUUUUUGUUAUAAUGAUUAUUUUUAAGAUGAUUAAAUAUUUAAGGUUAACUGGUCUGAUUAAUAGACUUUUAUGUUAUUUUAGGUACAGUCUUUUUUGUUUAUUUAUUUAAGGAUUUUUUUCCCCUUUUCCUCUACUUUUUGCACCACACUCCUGUCCAGUAGGUGGCAGAAAUGCACCUUAUGUUAGUGUACCAACCACUACAAUGGAAAAGCUGGUGUACUACAGCAAAAAUGUGAGCUGAGAGCAGGCUGUGUCUGAAAUUGCAUCUUGCGCAGGCCAGGUAUCACCUGAUGAUGACAUUUCAAAAAGAGGAAGCCCAUUCAGUGAAAGUUUACAUGAUGUCGGGAAAGUGAAAUAUGAAAGUUUCGGUUACCCAGAAAGAAGAAGUUUACCGGCCUUUUACUGGAAAAGACCCUCUCGCUCCACCUACACUUCAGUUCCACAUAUUUCACAAACAAUAGAAAGUCUCUGCGGGAUGUAUUUACACCGCCCGAUAGGAAAUAAGUGAUGAGGAGCUUGACAGCAAAAGUCACCUUAGCUUUCAUUGUGGAAAAGACCUGCUCGAAGAUCCUUCAAAAACAUCUCUCCUCUAAGAACUGUUUACAUAGAAGAUGCUGGAAAACUGAAGAAUCUGCAGGACCUGAAGGAUUUUUCUGAAGAACAGAGCUCAGUUUAACUGCUCAGAACAAACAAGGGACUCAUGAACAACCAUCACAAAACAAAAAAACAGUCGUGGAUUAUCCAGUAAUAGCCAAUGUGGACCACAGAAGAAAGUCAUACAGAUUUGGAGCAACAUAAGGGGAUUCGGGAUCUUUUUUCGAGUAUUGGCCUGAGUGAUGUCAACAAGGUCGGAAUUCCGACACUUCUCCCGGAAGGGCGCGCACGCACACGUCGACCAGAGCGAGAGAGCAAGAGCACGCCCAUCAACGCGCGUCCGGCUUUAUGGAAGUCGUCGGCAGCGCUGCACAGUGGCUGCUCGAGCCCUCAGGAUCGGUGCUUAUGGUUUCAUAAACAAGGCCCAGUUCUACGCUGGAUUUACAGAUCGUUUGAAACUGAAAGAUGGAGCGGUCACAGCGGUAAUGAUCCCGGGUCUUGAGUCGGAACCGCAGGUGGAAAACAGAGCAAACUUUUUGAUGACUCAUCCUGCACUAAACAGAUUUUUAUCCAAUCAGAUGCUCUCUAAAAUGAGAAUGUUGCUCCCUCUGCAACCAACCAGCAGGUUGCAAAUCAUGGUUCAUGGCUAUGAGCUUAUGUAAAAAGAGUGUCAGAAAGUUGAUGAUGAGUCCAGAGUGCCGCUGCUACACAACUUUGGUUUUGCAUGUGGGUCUGAAUCAUGGGAGAUGCAUCUGAGGGACCCCCUGGAGUCCAAUCCAAACAUCUGUCUGUUUCACCUCUGCAUCGUUUGAGAAGUGGCAGAAUGUGUUGGAAUGUGGAAUCUGAUCAAACUUGCUGCAAGUGUGGAAGAGGCAGAAAGUUCAUACACGAUAAGAACUUGCCCCAGAGCAAAGGCCAGACUCCCCUCUUGCUCUCGAGCAGCUGUUUCACAGAAGCGCAUUACAUAACGCGCAAGAACCUGCCAUAAAACUAGGACAAAAAAUGUCCCACAGUCAUCUGAAAAAUCCCUUCUAAUUUCAGAAAGCAGUUUAGGAAUUAUAGUGUCUUUAGGGAGGUCAGUUUUUUUAAAAGAAUUUCCAAAGGUAAUUUUUGAAAUGUGAUUGUAUCGAAGGUCUUGCACACACCCAAACUGCACUACUACAACAGUUAAUGUCAACUAUUAAUAGACUUAGGAAAAUACUUCUAAUAUUUUUUGUGCAGCUGCAGUGUUGGAGUUGGAUUGAAAACUUUCCUAGUAUUUGUUAAUCCGUUGCUAAGAUGUUUUGAAUGGUUUGUAGGGCAUUGCUAGGGUGUGAGGUGGUUGCCAAGGUGUUCUGAAUGCUUUGUAGGGUGUAGCUAAGGUGUUCUGAAUUGUAUGUAGGAUGUUGAUAAUAGAGUGUUCUGCAUGAUUUCUAAGGUGUUCUGAAUUGUAUGUAGGAUGUUGAUAAUAGAGUGUACUGCAUGAUUUCUAAGGUGUUCUGAAUGGUAUGUAGGACGUUACUAGGGUGUGCAGUAGUUGCCAAAAAGUUCUGAAUGGUUUGUUGGGUGUUGCUAGGGAGUGAGGUGGUUGCUAAGGUGUUCUGAAUUUUAUUUUGGAUGUUGUUAAAGUGUUUUGCAUGGUUUCUAGGGUGUUCUGAAUGGUAUUUAGGGUGUUGCUAGGGUGUGAGGUGGUUGCCAGGGUGUUCUGAAUGGUUUGUAGCAUGUUGAUAGGGUGUUCUGCGUGGUUUCUAAGGUGUUCUGAAUGGUAUGUAGGGCAUUGCUAGGGUGUGAGGUGGUUGCCAAGGUGUUUUCAAAGGUUUGUAGGGUGUUGCUAGGGUGUGAGGUGGUUGCCAAGGUGUUCUGAAUGCUUUGUAGAGUGUUGCUAAGGUGUUCUGUAUGUAGGAUGUUGCUAGAUUUGGGUGUUCUGUGUGGUUUCUAAUGUGUUCUGAAUGUUAUGUAAGGUGUUGCUAAGAUGUUCUGAAUGGACUGUAGGGUGUUGCUAGGGUGAGAAGUGGUUGCAAAGGUUUUCUGAAUGCUUUGUAUGGUGUUGCUAAGGUGUUCUGACUGGUCUGUAAGGCGUUGCUAUGGUGUGAGGUGGUUGCCAAGGUGUUCUGAAUGGUUUGUAUGGUGUUGCUAGGGUGUUCUGUGUGGUUUCUAGGGUGUUCUGAAUGAUUUCUAGAUUUUGUGAGGUAGCUGCUAAUGUGUUCUGAAUGUUUUGUAUGGUGUUGCUAAGGUGUUCUGAAUGGUUUGUAGGGUGUUGCUAAGGUGUGAGGUGGUUGCCUAGGUGUUCUGAAUGUUUUGUAUGGUGUUGCUAAGGUGUUCUGAAUGGUUUGUAGGGUGUUGCUAAGGUGUGAGGUGGUUGCCUAGGUGUUCUGAAUGUUUUGUAUGGUGUUGCUAGAGUGUUCUGUGUGGUUUCUAGGGUGUUCUGAAUGAUUUCUAGAUUUUGUGAGGUAUCUGCUAAGGUGUUCUGAAUGGUUUGUAGGGUAUUCCAAGGGUGUGAGGUGAUUGUCAAGAUGUUCUGAAUGGUCUGAAGGGUGUUGCUAAUGUCUUCUGAAUGGUUUGUAGGGUGUUGCUAGGGUGUGUUCUAAUUGGUUUGAAGGGUGUUGCUAAGGUGUUCUGAAUAGUUUGUAGGGUGUUGCUAGGGUGAGAAGUGGUUGCCAAGGUGUUCUAAAUGUCUUGUGUUGUGUAGCUGGGGUGUUCUAAAUGGUUUGUAGGGUGUUGCCAAGGUGUUCUGAAUGGUUGUUGCCUCAAAUGACAGGACGUCACAAAAGGGCAGCAAUUUUGAAUCAGCUGCUGUGUGUUUGCUCUCUGUGAUGUUUAGCAGUGAGGUCAGAACAAAGAUGACUGAGAUGUUCCGGCUGGAUUAGAUGAGAAAAGACAGAACCAGCAGAGAUCACUCAUGACGUGUGCUAACAGAUCGGAUUUCUCUAUCUCCAUCCUAGUCAAUGCCAAGGUCCUGUAAACAAUGUGUUUGUUUCCAGUACAGUUAACCCCCCCACCUUCCAUUAAUGUGCAUCCUCCAUGCGACUAAUAAGUCAACAGAACCUCUCGUCUGUGUUGAUGCAUCACGUUCCGUGUGGCUUGUCCUCGUGCUGACGUCCACAGUCAUGAAUGUAAACACGGACAGGGCUUAAUUUCCAGCGCUCCUACGUCUUUGUUCCGUUGUAAGCGCUUCUGUUUUCCGAAAGGUUGCACGGUUACGUAGGACAGCGAGUGGGCGGGAGGAAAAGGAGAUUGGUGGAUAACAGGAAGAAAGGGAACUUCUAAAUCCGUGUUUGUGUAUGUAAUUAGACCUGCUAUUGUUAGAACAACGUGCUGGCUGUGUUUAUAUCCCGUUUGAAUGGACAGACACUUGGAGACAAUGUUAAGAGAGGACAAAGAAAAAGGACAAAUGAGACCUAUUUAUAAUCUUAGUUUUUUCUGCUGGACAAUAGUGAGAUUGAACGGAAAGCAAAUCAGUCUCCUGCUUCUUAGGUCUUCUUCUUUCUCACACCUUUUGGCUAAUGACUUUUCUGUGAUUGAUCCUCAGCAUUUUUAUGUGUUUAUGAUUGCUUAAUUUUUUUAUUAAUUAAUUAUUUAAUACAUUUUUUAAAGACGUUGCUCUGAGAAAAAGCCAUUUAUAGUCAGUGAAAUAUGGAGCAGAGUCAAUUUAUAAUUUCUAUUUAUAAUGUAGAAAUCUCUGAUUUUUCAAGAUUUUAUUCAUUUGAAAUCCCAUCAUUUUAUUUAUUGUAUUUUUUUAUUUUAAUUGCGUAAUUUUCAUUUCCAUGAUUCUUGGAGAUUUUACAUUUUUAAUUAUUUUAAUUAUUAGAUAUUAUUAAUUUGUUUAUUUUCAUGAAUUUAAGUGUCAAGACUUUUACAGAUUUUAUUAAUUUUAUAUAAAAUCUUUUAUAUAUAUAUAUAUAUAUAUAUAUAUAUAUAUAUUGCAUGAUUUAAUUUCCAUGAUUCUUGGAGAUUUUAUUAAUUUUAAAUUCCAUUAUUUUUUUUAAUAGCAUGAUUUUAACUUCCGAGACUUUUACCGAUUUUAUUAUUUUAAAUAAAAUUUAAAAAAAUGCAUUAUUUUAAUUUUCUAUGAUGUUUUCAGAGCUAAAUAUGCACAAAAAAGUCUCAAACUGUGCUUACAUUUGAGUUUAGUUUUCUGUUUAGAUUUCAACAUGAGCUCAAAUGUGUCUCAUUAAAUUAUAGAUUUAUUUAAUUUCAUUUAAUUAAUACGCUUACUGUAUGUCAAAAUAUGUACUAAUUUGUUUGCCUGGAUUUCUCAUAUAUCAUUUUGGAGAAACAUCUGAGGAAAAAGUUAAUAGUUCAGUGAAACAUAACUGAGAACCUCCAUUAAGCACAAAUUGUGCAUCAUGCUAAUGUGCAGAAACUCUCUGUGAGCUUGGAACAGAGACGCAUAGCUGGAAGUUGAGCUCUCCAGUGACAUGCCCAGUGUGUCAGGCUGCCAUGUGAUGCGAGCCUGGCACAUGUGGGCCCGUGCCUGUCUCAUUUCAGUGACCCUGUCAGAAACUUUAACCCAACUCAGAACGCUGCUACUCUGACACUGAGAGUGUUAGCAUCUGUGUCACCGCAUUUCAUCUUGCACCAUUCAUCAGAUGACAAGUUCUGAACUGUAAGUGCAGAUGCACACGUGCAGUUCUUGUACUGUUAGAAUAAAUUGCCCAAAGCCACUGUUUAUUUGCUAAAUUUUCUCAUUUUAAAUGUAUAGUUUACCCAAAAGUGAAAAUUCAGUAAUUUACUCACCCUCUUGUUGUUUGACUGACUUCCUUCUGAGGAGCAUAAAAGAUAUUCUGAAGAACGUUGGGCUCCAAACAAAAUUAGACCCCACUGACUUUCACUGAGACAUAUUUCAAAAUAUAUUCUUUUAUGCUCCACAGAAGGAAGAAGGUCAAACAGGUUUGGAAAGACAUGAGGGUGAGUAAAUAAUGACAGAAUUUCCAUUUUUGGUGGAACUAACCCUUUAAGGCCUACUCACACCAAGAACAAAUAUCCCUGUUUUGCAUUAAUGUGAGUUUUACUUUGCAUUAAAGCAAAUGGCAUUUGUAUUGUCAAAUUUUGCUUUAAAGCUUGUGGAUAAAUGCAGUGGUUUUUUGUUUCACUCUUGGUGUGAAUAGGCCUUUUGUGUGUGAUUCAUUUUGCUUUUCCGCUCUUAGUGUGAACAGGCCUUUAGUCUUUUGACCCUGCACCAGUAUUUAGGAUUCUAUGCUUCAUUACCCCCAGUAUGUGCUUUCUUAUUCACUCAUAUACAACAGAGAAAGCAAGGUCAAUACGGCCCUGAAGAAAAUGAAAUUCCCAAAGGAAGGUGAAGCUGAGGCAUAUGGCUCCCGCUGGUACUAAUCAAUAUCUUCAAUGCAGCACACCACCCCGAUCAAUCGCACAUCGUGAAGGCUUGUAUCUUCGAAUAAAAGAUUUGUAUCGUUUACUUCUCCAGCACCAAUAGCUGCAUCUUCCCUUCCAGAUCAAUAAGAGUUUUCUUAAAGGGAUAGUUCACCCUAAAAUGAAAGCUAAAGAGAUAGUUCACCCAUAAAUGAA